CCUACGGGAGGCAGCAGUAGGGAAUAUUGCUCAAUGGGGGAAACCCUGAUGCAGCAACGCCGCGUGGAGGAUGAAGGUUCUCGGAUCGUAAACUCCUUUUGUUAGAGAAGAUAAUGACGGUAUCUAAAGAAUAAGCACCGGCUAACUCCGUGCCAGCAGCCGCGGUAAUACGUAGGGGGCAAGCGUUACUCGGAAUCACUGGGCGUAAAGAGGGCGUAGGCGGGGUAGCAAGUCAGGUGUGAAAUCCUGGGGCUUAACCCUAGAACUGCAUUUGAAACUGUGAUGCUAGAGUAUGGGAGGGGUAGGUGGAAUUCUUGGUGUAGGGGUAAAAUCCGUAGAGAUCAAGAGGAAUACGCAUGGCGAAGGCGACCUGCUAGAACAUAACUGACGUUGAUGCGCGAAAGCGUGGGGAGCAAACAGGAUUAGAUACCCCAGUAGUC
Molecule: ribosomal RNA, 440 nt
Filed under: uncultured bacterium
Lineage: Bacteria
Description: partial 16S ribosomal RNA
Rfam family: Bacterial small subunit ribosomal RNA
Source: RNAcentral